Molecule: non-coding RNA, 272 nt
Organism: Camellia sinensis
Lineage: Eukaryota; Viridiplantae; Streptophyta; Magnoliopsida; Ericales; Theaceae
Source: RefSeq, a predicted model, not a curated record
AGGGGAAGUAGAAAAGAAGAAAAAAAAGAAGAGAAAAGGAAGAAAAGGUGACUCAAGAAGGUGAUGAAGCACUUUACAAUGGUGAAGGUUAAUUCGAAGGCAAAUAAGAUGAAGUGUUGGAGCUGUAGUUCAUUUGAAGACUUAGACUAGUUGUUUUUUUUUUCCUUUUAACUUUUGGUUUGGCAAUGUUUUAGUAAUCCUGUAAUGGACCAUAAACAAAUUAUCUGUGAUAUUAACUCUGUUUAUAUAUGUAUAUUAAAAUAUUUUGGUUA